GACUACUGGGGUAUCUAAUCCCGUUUGCUCCCCUAGCUUUCGCGCCUCAGCGUCGAUCUCGGUCCAGGAUGCCGCCUUCGCCACCGGUGUUCCUCCAGAUAUCUACGCAUUUCACCGCUACACCUGGAAUUCCACAUCCCUCUCCCGAAUCCAAGCCUCCCAGUAUCAGACGCAGUUCCCAGGUUAAGCCUGGGGCUUUCACGUCCGACUUAGAAGGCCGCCUACGCGCCCUUUACGCCCAGUAAUUCCGAACAACGCUUGCCACCUCUGUAUUACCGCGGCUGCUGGCACAGAGUUAGCCGUGGCUUCCUCAACCGGUACCGUCAGUCUUCAACGUAUUAGGUUGAAGCUUUUCGUCCCGAUCAACAGGAGUUUACAAUCCGAAGACCUUCAUCCUCCACGCGGCGUUGCGUCGUCAGGCUUGCGCCCAUUGCGAAAAAUUCCCCACUGCAGCCCCCCGUAGG
Molecule: ribosomal RNA, 464 nt
Filed under: uncultured Acidobacteriota bacterium
Lineage: Bacteria; Pseudomonadati; Acidobacteriota
Description: uncultured Acidobacteria bacterium partial 16S ribosomal RNA
Source: RNAcentral